GGAAUAUUGGACAAUGGGGGGAACCCUGAUCCAGCCAUGCCGCGUGUGUGAAGAAGGCCUUUUGGUUGUAAAGCACUUUAAGCGAGGAGGAGGCUCUUCUAGUUAAUACCUAGGAUGAGUGGACGUUACUCGCAGAAUAAGCACCGGCUAACUCUGUGCCAGCAGCCGCGGUAAUACAGAGGGUGCAAGCGUUAAUCGGAUUUACUGGGCGUAAAGGGUACGUAGGUGGUCUAUUAAGUCGGAUGUGAAAUCCCUGAGCUUAACUUAGGAAUUGCAUUCGAUACUGAGAGACUAGAGUAUGGGAGAGGAUGGUAGAAUUCCAGGUGUAGCGGUGAAAUGCGUAGAGAUCUGGAGGAAUACCGAUGGCGAAGGCAGCCAUCUGGCCUAAUACUGACACUGAGGUACGAAAGCAUGGGGAGCAAACAGGAUUAGAUACCCUGG
RNAcentral lists this ribosomal RNA (441 nucleotides) under uncultured Acinetobacter sp. RNAcentral describes it as "bacterial SSU rRNA". It matches the Rfam family "Bacterial small subunit ribosomal RNA", at positions 358 to 790 of the family's 1533-position model. The record is from RNAcentral. Lineage: Bacteria; Pseudomonadati; Pseudomonadota; Gammaproteobacteria; Moraxellales; Moraxellaceae.